GCGCAACCCUUGUCCUUAGUUACCAGCACGUUAUGGUGGGCACUCUAAGGAGACUGCCGGUGACAAACCGGAGGAAGGUGGGGAUGACGUCAAGUCAUCAUGGCCCUUACGGCCUGGGCUACACACGUGCUACAAUGGUCGGUACAAAGGGUUGCCAAGCCGCGAGGUGGAGCUAAUCCCAUAAAGUGCGUCCCAGUCCGGAUUGCAGUCUGCAACUCGACUGCAUGAAGUUGGAAUCGCUAGUAAUUCGAGAUCAGCAUGCUCGGGUGAAUGCGUUCCCGGGCCUU
This 287-nucleotide ribosomal RNA is filed under the name uncultured Pseudomonas sp. RNAcentral describes it as "partial 16S ribosomal RNA". It matches the Rfam family "Bacterial small subunit ribosomal RNA", at positions 1096 to 1382 of the family's 1533-position model. Lineage: Bacteria; Pseudomonadati; Pseudomonadota; Gammaproteobacteria; Pseudomonadales; Pseudomonadaceae. The record is from RNAcentral.